GUCUUUUGGCGCAUAUAAUUUCAUUUACACCCCCUGGUCUUUUAUAAAUUUAUCAUACGGGCCCUCAACUUUGGUAAUGACAUGUUUAUGUACGUGGGUCAAAAUAUAAUACGUUUUUGUGCUUAUUUUUAUGUACGUUUUCGGUUAGUCUACGUUUUGUUCGGAAACGAAUUGGGUCAAUGUACGUUUUCGGUUAGUCUACGUUUUGACAUAAAUUUUGUUUGGAAACGAAUUGGGUCAAAUAUAAUACGUUUUCACUAGACGGUAUAAAUUCGACUUACUUUACGUUUCGACACCGCUGCAACGCUCGGUACCGUUCUUUAACUUAAAAAACACUAACGUUUCGGUAUAAAUGCAAGUUGGUUUACGUUUCGACAUAAAUUUUUCUCGGUAAUGAGUCAAGUCAAAUAUAAUAUGUUUUCGUGAUUAUUAUUAUGUGCAUUUCAGUUGGUCUAUGUUUUGACGUAAAUUUUUUUCGGAAACGAAUCGAAUCAAAUAUUUGACGGUAUAAAUCGAGUUAAUUUAAGUUUCAAUACCACCACAACGCGCGGCGGAUCAAAAUACUAGUUAAGAAUAAAGAUGAACUAGCUAUAAUCUUGAAACUUAACUAAAUUGGAAGUUAUUGAGCUGAGCUGUUAAAAAACUAAAACGGAAAUUAUAUUAUAACUAUAAAUAACAAUAAACUAGCAAUAAUCUUGAAAUUAAACUAAAAUGGAAGUUAUAAUUAAGGAGUAUACCGGACUAGAGGCGAUAAGACCGUCAUCAGAAAGUCUACCAUAAGCCCUCAGACCAUAGAAAGAUAUGUAAUCAUGAACUCUCGAAUCAAGAAGAUCAGAUAGAUUGUGUAAUAUAGAACUGUUUCCUCUUGAUAUUGUUCGAUACUGCCAAUGCAUUAUGGCUCUUACAGAUGCAGCCCCCACAUCAUCUAAACCACCCUGCGAAACUUCAAAACAUGAAAACCAAAAAUACAGAGCUGCACGAGCAAAUUUUACUAUAAAAAAACGAGUCAACUCGCCUGGAAGCCAGGUAAGAGUGGUAUAACAACAAUGACCCUGAAAUGUUGUUUUUCAUGAUAUGCCCUGAUGAUACGUCUGUACAAGGAUUCCAAAACACGAUUUCGUAUGAUCUCAUCUCCAGAAAGACCCGAGAUGAAGAAUUGGUUCUGGAAACAAAAUUGUUUUUGAUAAAUCAGCAAACGUAUAUAAAAAUUAACUUAUGCAAAAAAAUUGGUGAUCUUGAAGACGAAUGAGUUUAUGAUGUACCUCAAUGUACACAAAGUGUUCAGCUUUCUCAAUAAGGGAACAAUAAGAAUUGUGAAUGCUCUCUUCAACUUGACUUGUCCCAGCUGACCAUUGACUGACACUCCUUACAACCUAAAAUGGAAAAAAAAAAUCUGAUUUUAAAUUAAAAAAAAACUAACUAAAACUUUUGUUUCUAAAGAGAACAAAUUAACAUUCACUAUUUCCAGAAAAUGAUACAUAGGCACUUAAAAGACAGCAUGUAGCAAAUUCAGCACACGAUAUGUUUCUAAAGAAUCUAGGCAAUAAACAAAUUAUCUAUAUAUAUUAAUUUACAACAUUGCAAGGAAUAGUAGCUAUUCUGUUCUUUAGUCUAUUUCUUUUUUUAGUGUAAAUUUACAUUUUCACCCCUGUAGUUUAAUCAUUCUACUUUUUUUUUCAUUUUCUUUAACCAAUUUACUAUUCUAUCCCUUAACUUUAAUAAAGUUAUCAUACAUCCCCUAAACUUCAAUAUAGUUGUCGGUAUUACGUCACGUGAGUCACUUGUUAGAAAUUCGUGUUUUAGUUUUACAUUGUUUCCCGCUUUUGGUCGUCGUUCGGUUAGCACCGUUUUACAACGCUAGCACCUCGGUAUUACGUCACGUGAGUCACUUGGUAUUAGUACCUCCUAAAGCGUUGUAAUAUGAAUACUUGGAUUAUGAUUGCAAUAUAUUGUUUUUGUAAAUUGUAAUCAUAAUUAUGCAUUAAUUCUUUAUUAAGUUUUAAAAAGGGUUUUGCAAGUCAACCCGAACCCGCCUGAUUCAAUACGUACUAAAGGAUGACCCCUUUUCAACCUAGCUCAUUUUGACAUGUUACCCAACCGGCUGAUCCGCCCAUUUUUUUUCCUCCUUUAAUUGCAACUUAUUAUAUAAAGAAGCAUGUGCAUUGUCCAAUUUGGUGACCUUAAGGACGCAACAAUAAUCUUGCAAAUAUUAAAAAAAUAGAAUAUAAGCUAACCUGACAACGACAAGCAACACAAGGACCAACUUGUCCUGUUUCAUCUGCAGAAACAACCAGGUUACCUCGCUCCUGAUUCUCCCACCAUUCUUUGUCAAUAGGUUUCACACCAGUGAACGAUUCUUGCUCAAGAUUUACAGCAUGUCGUUCAUCCACGAAAUCUCUCAUCGGCAUAUCUGGAACCAAAGGUUCAACUUUGGAUUUCCUGAAAGAAAAAGAAGUCCUAGAAGUCCUACUUGGUUGACCAUGAUAAUCGUUUGACCCGUUAGUAUUCAAUUGUCCAUUAGAAGCAUCCACUCCAUCAGCUUCUUGCGGGAUUAGCAAUGGGAUGUCUUCAGAAGAUGCAGAGGAAGAAGAAUUUCUUCUGUUGAUUACUAUAUGAGCGUCGUCCAUAACUGUUGAAUUUUCAUCCUCUACUAUAUUGUUGCCCAUGUAAUGUGGGAUAACCAUGUGUUGUUGAGGCAUAAGUAGCGGAAUACCUUGUUCGUUCGGAGCUUUGUUUCUCUGAAAAAGAAUAUAAAUAUUAGAUUUCGAGUAAAAUGUCAUUUUCGUCCCUGAGUGAGAUCCGGUUGCUCCGCCGGAGAUUAACUGUUCCGAUGCCAUAUUAUCACUCAACUCCGAUCAAAUCGAAAUAAAUCUAGCAAAAU
Molecule: long non-coding RNA, 2881 nt
Filed under: Helianthus annuus (common sunflower)
Lineage: Eukaryota; Viridiplantae; Streptophyta; Magnoliopsida; Asterales; Asteraceae
Description: hypothetical non coding rna
Source: RNAcentral